Molecule: long non-coding RNA, 285 nt
Filed under: Mytilus galloprovincialis (Mediterranean mussel)
Lineage: Eukaryota; Metazoa; Mollusca; Bivalvia; Mytilida; Mytilidae
Source: RNAcentral
UGAUUUUUUGUUUGCUUUUGAACUGAAAUAAUUGACUGUAAAUAGCAGAAGAUAAUGGUGAUGCUAACAACUUACCUUUAUUAAAACUAGCUAAUUGUGUGCACAUUCUUGCAUACGUCAGUUAAAAUUAAAAAAAGAAGAUGUGGUAUGAUUGUAAUAGAAACUCUCCACGCGACCAAAUGAACAGAAACUUACAACUAUAGCACACUGUAGGGCCUUCAACAAAGAGCAAAGCCCAUACCGCAUAGUAUGCUUCAAAAGUCCCCGAAAUGACGAAUGUUUCUA